UCCCUGGUGGUCCAGCAGUUAAGACUCUGAACUUCCAUGGCAGAGAGCAUGGGUUCAAUCCCUAGUCAGGGAA
Molecule: transfer RNA, 73 nt
Filed under: Bos taurus (domestic cattle)
Lineage: Eukaryota; Metazoa; Chordata; Mammalia; Artiodactyla; Bovidae
Also listed under: 5 other names
Rfam family: tRNA
About the family: Transfer RNA (tRNA) molecules are approximately 80 nucleotides in length. Their secondary structure includes four short double-helical elements and three loops (D, anti-codon, and T loops).
Source: Rfam by way of RNAcentral